This 471-nucleotide ribosomal RNA is filed under the name uncultured bacterium. RNAcentral describes it as "partial 16S ribosomal RNA". It matches the Rfam family "Bacterial small subunit ribosomal RNA", at positions 355 to 844 of the family's 1533-position model. The record is from RNAcentral.
UGGGGAAUAUUGCACAAUGGGCGCAAGCCUGAUGCAGCAACGCCGCGUGAGGGAUGACGGCCUUCGGGUUGUAAACCUCUUUUAGUAGGGAAGAAGCGAAAGUGACGGUACCUGCAGAAAAAGCACCGGCUAACUACGUGCCAGCAGCCGCGGUAAUACGUAGGGUGCGAGCGUUGUCCGGAAUUAUUGGGCGUAAAGAGCUCGUAGGCGGUCUGUCGCGUCUGCUGUGAAAACCCGAGGCUCAACCUCGGGCCUGCAGUGGGUACGGGCAGACUAGAGUGCGGUAGGGGAGAAUGGAAUUCCUGGUGUAGCGGUGGAAUGCGCAGAUAUCAGGAGGAACACCGAUGGCGAAGGCAGUUCUCUGGGCCGUAACUGACGCUGAGGAGCGAAAGCGUGGGGAGCGAACAGGAUUAGAUACCCUGGGUAGUCCACGCCGUAAACGUUGGGCGCUAGAUGUGGGGACCAUUCCAC